GGUAUAGGGGAGACUCUGCCGGAUUUUCGGCACGACUUAGGACGUAUUGGGUCUUUUCUUGAUUUGUAUUGAGUCAUUUGUAUUAAAUAAUUAUAAUAUAAUUGUCAGGUGAGCCGGGACAGCCUUCUUCCUCCGCCCAGCCGCCACAGUAAUUUGUCAUCAAGUCUGCCACAGGAGGAUAUUUAUUCUGGGUUAACCUGCUUUUAUACUUCGCAGGUUGUUUAUUGAUAUUUGUGUAAUUUUAUUUACUCCUAGAAUUUCCGCAUGUGUUAGCAGUAAUUAUUUGAAUUUGGUCUGUAAUAUUAUAUUCAUGUUGGACCUGUAAACUUAAUAUUUUAAGUCUGUUUUGAUGGAUUGGAUGAGGGAGCUGAGCUCCCAUUUAUUAUUA
This is a long non-coding RNA of Hevea brasiliensis (rubber tree), 388 nucleotides long. RefSeq lists it as uncharacterized. The record is from RefSeq and is a predicted model, not a curated record. The transcript is spliced from 2 exons. NCBI's taxonomy places the organism in Eukaryota, Viridiplantae, Streptophyta, Magnoliopsida, Malpighiales, Euphorbiaceae.